RNAcentral lists this ribosomal RNA (48 nucleotides) under Hoya gracilis. RNAcentral describes it as "partial 26S ribosomal RNA". The record is from RNAcentral. Lineage: Eukaryota; Viridiplantae; Streptophyta; Magnoliopsida; Gentianales; Apocynaceae.
CCCCAGGUCAGGCGGGGCUACCCGCUGAGUUUAGGCAUGUCAAUAAGC